AUGGGCUAUGGUAAGGGAGGCAGCAAUCAAGUAAAGAGUUUUAUCUUCUAGAAGCUCACAUGUAAUGGAGAAUUCAAAAAUAUCACCCGGAAAAAUAUCAACAACAAUCCAAAAGUUUAUAUUGGUUGGUAGAAAAUAUAGUAGUAAUACAUACCAGGACCUAGGCAAGGAGUGUUUUGUGAAUGAAGAAAGAAAAAGCAUAGGUUAACUGUCAAAAGUCCCCAGAGAGACUGAACUUUGCUAGGACCAGGAAAUAUGGAGAAGAAUUGGACAGGUAUGGAGAAAUGGAGAUGUUCUGAGAAGGAGAAAAGGAAAGAGGAAAAGGGAAAAGAUGGGCAAGGGCAAGGUUUGCUUAGAAGGUAAGAAUGAGUGACAACAAAGUGUAUUUCUGUGUCCUGCUUUGUCACAUAAGUGAUGAUACUUGUUUAUGGAUUAUGGUGUCCUUACUAUGAGACUGGAAGGGGAAUGUGAAGAAAGAAUCAAACAAAAUGCAAGAGUACUUAUGGUCCCAUAUCCUUAUUCCUUUUCAAGAUUAUUGUGUGCUUCUCAGCAUUCUUACAAUGUGUGUAGAUACAACCCAAGGCUGGAGCUCAGAGAACUGCCUCCCUCCCUCCAACCCACUCCAUGCAAUGCCUUGCUUCCCUCAAAAUCACAGAAAUACAACUUGGAAAAGUUUGGCUUUGGGUGAACAUUCUUAUAUCCAGCUGCAGUCUAUUUCUUGCAUCCCAUCUGCCCCAAUUUGGAGCUGCUAGGCAUGUGCCGCACUUGGGGUAUUUGACAAACUGACACUCUACCACAUGGAGUGUCCAACUCAGCUUGUCAAAUACACGGAGUGUGGCACUGCAGGACAUCAGGUCAAGGGCUUCUGUGGGAUGAUGAGAUUUUCCUGAAAGAUGUGAUCCUGGAAGGAAAGAAAGGAAUCAGUGGUGAAGUCACACUGUGAGCCUCAGAGAACCUGAAGAGUUUAAAAGGAGCACCUAAAACACUGGGACAGGGAAGUAAACAAAAUAGGCAUUAGGCCCCUAAUCAGAAGAGGAAUCCUAAGUGAUCAUCUGGAGUUCUUCUGACCUAAGUACUAUAGCUAUAGCAUUUUCAGGGAUUCCAAGGCUCCGUGGGUUCUUCUAUGCAGCAGAGAGGUAAUAAUUUGGUCAUCAUUCUUCCCCAUGAUUUGUAGAAAGGAUCGGACUCCAGAGUCAGUAUCCUUGCCCUCCUCUUCUUCCCAAUUCUCCCAAACUGUGUUCUCACAGUGUUGUGGUCAUGCACCACAGACUUUUAAGUUAAAUAUGGACUUGAAUCCUAGCUCUGCCCUUAAAUAGCUGGUAACAUUAGAUGAAUUAUUUCACCUCUGUGAGCUCUAGUUUUCCACAGCAACAAAAUAUGUAUAAGGACCUAGGUGUGGUGCUAUAAUCCUAGCACUUCUGGAAGGUUGAAACAGGAAGAUCACAAGUUUUAUCCCAGCCUAGAAAACUU
Long non-coding RNA from Heterocephalus glaber (naked mole-rat), 1470 nucleotides. Lineage: Eukaryota; Metazoa; Chordata; Mammalia; Rodentia; Bathyergidae. The record is from Ensembl.